AGAGUUUGAUCCUGGCUCAGAAUGAACGCUGGCGGCGUGCUUAACACAUGCAAGUCGAACGAGAAAGGGGGAUUCGUCCCCCGAGUAAAGUGGCGCACGGGUGAGUAACGCGUAGGUAACCUGCCCAUGUGUUCGGGAUAACACUUCGAAAGGGGUGCUAAUACCGGAUGCGAUCGGAGGCCGAGAGGUUUCCGAUGAAAGUCUGCCACUCUAUAGAAGCAGACGCACAUGGAGGGGCCUGCGUCCUAUCAGCUAGUUGGUGGGGUAACGGCCUACCAAGGCGACGACGGGUAGCUGGUCUGAGAGGAUGAUCAGCCACACUGGCACUGGAACACGGGCCAGACUCCUACGGGAGGCAGCAGUGAGGAAUUUUGCGCAAUGGCCGCAAGGCUGACGCAGCAACGCCGCGUGGGUGAUGAAGGCCUUCGGGUCGUAAAGCCCUGUCAGGUGGGAAGAACAGCAUUUUCUCGAAUAGGGGGGAUGUUUGACGGUACCACCAGAGGAAGCACCGGCUAACUCCGUGCCAGCAGCCGCGGUAAUACGGAGGGUGCGAGCGUUAUUCGGAAUUACUGGGCGUAAAGCGCGUGCAGGCGGGAAGGUAAGUCUGAUGUGAAAGCCCCGGGCUCAACCCGGGAAGUGCAUUGGAAACUGCUUUUCUUGAGUACUGGAGAGGAAGGGGGAAUUCCCGGUGUAGAGGUGAAAUUCGUAGAGAUCGGGAGGAAUACCAGUGGCGAAGGCGCCCUUCUGGACGGUUACUGACGCUGAGACGCGAAAGCGUGGGGAGCAAACAGGAUUAGAUACCCUGGUAGUCCACGCCGUAAACGAUGAGAACUAGGUGUAGCGGGUACUCAUUCCUGCUGUGCCGUAGCUAACGCGUUAAGUUCUCCGCCUGGGGAUUACGGUCGCAAGACUAAAACUCAAA
Molecule: ribosomal RNA, 922 nt
Filed under: uncultured bacterium
Lineage: Bacteria
Description: bacterial SSU rRNA
Rfam family: Bacterial small subunit ribosomal RNA
Source: RNAcentral